This 301-nucleotide ribosomal RNA is filed under the name uncultured bacterium. RNAcentral's name for it is "partial 16S ribosomal RNA". It matches the Rfam family "Bacterial small subunit ribosomal RNA", at positions 509 to 808 of the family's 1533-position model. The record is from RNAcentral.
CAGUCGCCAACGGGAAUACAGAGGGUGCGAGCGUUAAUCGGAUUUACUGGGCGUAAAGCGUGCGUAGGCGGCUAAUUGAGUCGGAUGUGAAAUCCCCGAGCUUAACUUGGGAAUUGCAUUCGAUACUGGUUAGCUAGAGUGUGGGAGAGGAUGGUAGAAUUCCAGGUGUAGCGGUGAAAUGCGUAGAGAUCUGGAGGAAUACCGAUGGCGAAGGCAGCCAUCUGGCCUAACACUGACGCUGAGGUACGAAAGCAUGGGGAGCAAACAGGAUUAGAUACCCGAGUAGUCCCUGUCUCUUAUA